RNAcentral lists this ribosomal RNA (468 nucleotides) under uncultured bacterium. Its description in RNAcentral is "partial 16S ribosomal RNA". It matches the Rfam family "Bacterial small subunit ribosomal RNA", at positions 28 to 507 of the family's 1533-position model. The record is from RNAcentral.
GACGAACGCUGGCGGCGUGCUUAACACAUGCAAGUCGAACGGAAAGGCCCUGCUUUUGUGGGGUGCUCGAGUGGCGAACGGGUGAGUAACACGUGAGUAACCUGCCCUUGACUUUGGGAUAACUUCAGGAAACUGGGGCUAAUACCGGAUAGGAGCUCCUGCUGCAUGGUGGGGGUUGGAAAGUUUCGGCGGUUGGGGAUGGACUCGCGGCUUAUCAGCUUGUUGGUGGGGUAGUGGCUUACCAAGGCUUUGACGGGUAGCCGGCCUGAGAGGGUGACCGGCCACAUUAGGACUGGGAUACGGCCCAGACUCCUACGGGAGGCAGCAGUGGGGAAUAUUGCACAAUGGGCGGAAGCCUGAUGCAGCAACGCCGCGUGCGGGAUGUGGGCCUUCGGGUUGUAAACCGCUUUCGCCUGUGACGAAGCGUGAGUGACGGUAAUGGGUAAAGAAGCACGGGCUAACUACGUG